Molecule: long non-coding RNA, 1381 nt
Organism: Oreochromis aureus
Lineage: Eukaryota; Metazoa; Chordata; Actinopteri; Cichliformes; Cichlidae
Source: Ensembl
CUCGGCUGCUCUGCACAUCGACCGGCGUCAACGACGCCCUUUGGAGCACACAGGAAAGAGAUGGAGGACUCUCAAUGAAGAUGUCACUGCAAUUACACAAGCGCAUUUCACAGACACCCUCUGUGUCUGCUCUUCCUUCUCUCACAACCCCCUUCCCCACUUUUUAAAAAUUUCUUUUCGACAGUCUUUUGAAGUGCAGCCUCAUCUCUUGCAGCUCUUUCAUAAUGCAUGCCCAUUUGGAAUUUGCAUGAAUUCACUUUCCAGAUGCUUCUGCUGCCAUCUUGACUUACGAUGAUGUGUACUGUACAGUAUUGGCUAUUGUAUUAUCAUAGGAUGAAAAGAAUAAUAAUUGGCUUGUUGUUAUGAGUUUGGGUUAUUUUGCAUUGCUCCUCUCACCACUAGGACAUAUUGGCGUGAGAUCAAAAUGUGUUGUAAAUUAUUCAGCUUCAGCUACCCCUACACUGAUGUCGGAGUGAAGGAAGAGCUUUCUGAUGUGGAUGAUACUGCAUCAGGAACUGAUUGGCUAAUGCUCAAUUGCCAACAGUACCUGAUGCAUUGCCUUCAGCAUCGAAAGAAACGUCACAAAGUGCUGGCUCCUCUAUUUUCCCCUGGAAUAAUAUUCUUCUCGUUUAUGAACCCAAAAUAUGGUUUUAAAUUUGAUUUUUUCUUACUUUUUUUGCACUUCUUAAAUGUGGAAAAUAAACAGAUUCUUAGUAUUUUUCACACAGUUCCCAAGAAUGAAUGUGUGUAUGUUUGUGUGUGCGUCCAUGUAUAUUAGUCACCACUGAGGGCUGGGGAUUAGGUAAUAAUGAUCACAGAGAUGUUGUGAAACUCAGAGCAGUACUUAUGUUAAGCUGAGGGCCAAUCUAUCACUCUGGCAUUUAAAUGUAUGUUUAUGUUCAUAUAAUGUUCCCCUCUUGUUCACUGGAGUCCAAACGGGACACCUGCAUCAAUGUAGGUCAUACUUGUUUUUCGCAUGUUCUCUUUUAAUACAUUUGUGCACUGUACUACUUAGAAUAAUACUUUUGUAAUAUGUGUGUGUGGGUGUGCGUGUGUGUGUGCGUGGGUAGGUGGGGGUGUAGGGGUGGGCUCGUUGACUUAAGUAACAUUCACAGGGAGACUUGGUCACACCUAGAGAUCUAACCAGCUCAGCCUCGCCUCUGUGAUUUAUAAGCAUGACUGUCUAAUUUUGUUCCAGUGAGGAACAGGACCAAAGGGAAUGUUCUCUCAUCCUCUCUUUCAUCAGUCUUGGAUAAAAUCUUCUAUUAAUCUCUAUAAACGGUUUCAAAAUGCUUCUUACUAAUGAAAUGUCUUAUCUCACUGUUUUUGUGCAUGUGUUGAAUAGCUUACCAAGUACAAUAAAAUUCUACUGAAGAGUAAA